Molecule: non-coding RNA, 90 nt
Organism: Trametes gibbosa
Lineage: Eukaryota; Fungi; Basidiomycota; Agaricomycetes; Polyporales; Polyporaceae
Source: the annotation of a GenBank genome assembly
GGCCUGGUGGUCUAGUAGUAUGAUUCCUUCUUAGGGCCCGAUCAGGACUGUAUUUGGAGGAGGUCCCGGGUUCAAUUCCCGGCCAGGCCC